This 156-nucleotide ribosomal RNA is filed under the name Trichoderma harzianum. Its description in RNAcentral is "5.8S ribosomal RNA". It matches the Rfam family "5.8S ribosomal RNA". From Rfam's summary of the family: 5.8S ribosomal RNA (5.8S rRNA) is a component of the large subunit of the eukaryotic ribosome. It is transcribed by RNA polymerase I as part of the 45S precursor that also contains 18S and 28S rRNA. Lineage: Eukaryota; Fungi; Ascomycota; Sordariomycetes; Hypocreales; Hypocreaceae. The record is from RNAcentral.
AAACUUUCAACAACGGAUCUCUUGGUUCUGGCAUCGAGAAGAACGCAGCGAAAUGCGAUAAGUAAUGUGAAUUGCAGAAUUCAGUGAAUCAUCGAAUCUUGAACGCACAUUGCGCCCGCCAGUAUUCUGGCGGGCAUGCCUGUCCGAGCGUCAUUU